CUUCUGCUGUGAUGAAUUGUGAAUAAAAUUCACAAGUCAGACUUCAGAGAUUUUUUUAGAAAAUCUAUGAGAAGAAAAUUCAUGUUUUCUGAGCGGAGU
Small nucleolar RNA from Hibiscus syriacus, 99 nucleotides. RefSeq annotates it as small nucleolar RNA R64/Z200 family. The record is from RefSeq and is a predicted model, not a curated record. NCBI's taxonomy places the organism in Eukaryota, Viridiplantae, Streptophyta, Magnoliopsida, Malvales, Malvaceae. The transcript has a single exon.